Molecule: non-coding RNA, 88 nt
Filed under: Candidatus Omnitrophota
Lineage: Bacteria; Pseudomonadati
Description: Candidatus Omnitrophica c-di-GMP sequence
Rfam family: c-di-GMP-I riboswitch aptamer
About the family: GEMM was predicted in a large-scale screen for bacterial structured RNA regulatory elements. Genes associated with GEMM are involved in a diverse array of functions, including chemotaxis regulation, signal transduction, secretion and chitin.
Source: RNAcentral
CCUCCGAAAAGGCGAACCAAUCGAAAGAUUGGGAUGCAAAACCACAGGCCUAAAUCCCUGCGAGGGAUAGGGUGACUGGGUUACCGAA